GCUAGCGUGGCAGAGCUUGGCAAAUGCAAAAGGCUUAAGCCCUUUAUUCAGAGGUUCAAAUCCUCUCUCUAGCC
Molecule: transfer RNA, 74 nt
Filed under: Anhinga melanogaster (Oriental darter)
Lineage: Eukaryota; Metazoa; Chordata; Aves; Suliformes; Anhingidae
Description: tRNA-Leu
Rfam family: tRNA
About the family: Transfer RNA (tRNA) molecules are approximately 80 nucleotides in length. Their secondary structure includes four short double-helical elements and three loops (D, anti-codon, and T loops). Further hydrogen bonds mediate the characteristic L-shaped molecular structure. tRNAs have two regions of fundamental functional importance: the anti-codon, which is responsible for specific mRNA codon recognition, and the 3' end, to which the tRNAs corresponding amino acid is attached (by aminoacyl-tRNA synthetases). tRNAs cope with the degeneracy of the genetic code in two manners: having more than one tRNA (with a specific anti-codon) for a particular amino acid; and 'wobble' base-pairing, i.e. permitting non-standard base-pairing at the 3rd anti-codon position.
Source: RNAcentral